Molecule: transfer RNA, 86 nt
Filed under: Candidatus Altarchaeales archaeon
Lineage: Archaea; Nanobdellati; Candidatus Altarchaeota; Candidatus Altarchaeia; Candidatus Altarchaeales
Also listed under: 1 other name
Description: tRNA-Ser
Rfam family: tRNA
About the family: Transfer RNA (tRNA) molecules are approximately 80 nucleotides in length. Their secondary structure includes four short double-helical elements and three loops (D, anti-codon, and T loops).
Source: RNAcentral
GCCGAGGUGGCGGAGUCUGGUUAACGCGCGGGCCUGCUAAGCUCGUCUCCCUCGGGGAGACUUGGGUUCGAAUCCCAACCUCGGCG